RNAcentral lists this transfer RNA (69 nucleotides) under Epidalea calamita (natterjack toad). RNAcentral's name for it is "tRNA-Gly". It matches the Rfam family "tRNA". Rfam says of the family: Transfer RNA (tRNA) molecules are approximately 80 nucleotides in length. The record is from RNAcentral. Lineage: Eukaryota; Metazoa; Chordata; Amphibia; Anura; Bufonidae.
AUUUUCUUAGUAUAAGCAGUACUAAUGACUUCCAAUCAUUAAGCCUCGGUUAAACCCCGGGAGAAAAUA